Molecule: long non-coding RNA, 767 nt
Filed under: Citrus maxima (pomelo)
Lineage: Eukaryota; Viridiplantae; Streptophyta; Magnoliopsida; Sapindales; Rutaceae
Description: long non-coding RNA (CMAX_LNC001672)
Source: RNAcentral
AAUAACUAUUAAGCUUAUUUAAAACCCAACUAAAUUAAAGUUUAGCUCAUAAUGAGCUUUAAAAAAGUAAUAACACAAGUGUUUGCCAUUAAAUAUAUUUCAAAGAGAGAACAAAAUAAGCAAACAAAAGAAAAAAUUGAGAUACAAAAGAACCAAAACGUCACACUUUAGUCUUCAGUUCUCUCUCAUUUUCUCCACGAAUAACGCCUCUAUUGCAGCUCUAAAAUCUCUCUUUUUAUUCUCUUUACCUCCGUCAACUGUCCUCCUCCUAUUUUCUUAAAAUGUACUCUUUUAUAUCUUGAAAUUAAGACAACAAAAAAGUAUGAGGACACUUGUCUUUUCUUGGCAUCUUAAGACCACAUUCUUUUUUGUGCUGUCUGCCACUGUUUUGUCUGCACAUGGCAGUGGUAGCGUAAUAACAGCUGCAGUAGAAUUUGUCUGUUAGCAUGUGAAGUAUGGACAACUUUUGACUGUAUUUGACCCGAGAUUGCUACAGCAAUUGCUACAACAUUCUCUCUGGUUCAUACUUGUUUUUGUUCAUACGCACAUUAGUCUUUUGUCAUUUUCUACAGGCCUAUGGCUGUAGCAAUGCAGCCCUUCUUCUAUAGCAUUCCAAGGAAAAAAUCCCUUUAAUCUUAAUUCAAAUGAUUUAUGGCUUAGUUUCCUCCAACUUUGUAACAAAUGUAAAAAAUGAUGAGAUAAACUUUAUAGUAAUUUACUCACUCGUUCUUUCCCUAGCAUGACACUUAUGGUAUAUUUACUUAUUC